GUGGCAGGAUCAGUCAGUGCUAGGACUCCACUCCAGUCAUGGCUACUAAUGUAAGAGAAAUUAACGUCAUAAAAAGGGCAUUUUAUCAUAAGAGGAACUCCAUCAACAUUCUCAGCAGUGUAGUUUGCAGUGUUCCUGGAAGCGGCUCACAAGGAAAGGGACAGAGACUGUCAAAAGGCCACCAUCUGACGGCAAGUCAGGAGGAAAUCUGAACAACAUGACUGAUAAUCAUCUUACCUAUACGUUGCAAGAAAUACAAGAAAGAGUCUUGUGUCACUUGAAGACUACUAACACAGAAAGUGUGAGCUGGUAGGCAGUGUCUCUGGAAUGGGAAAAGAAGAAUCACCACUGUUUUACUACUGGAGCAUGGACUACAGGUCUGACCAUUUUUUCAAGCAGUCAGCAUGGCAGUGGUGUCCUGUGUGGUUCACUGGCCUGGUGUACCGGGAACUUUCUUAUGGACAAUGGACUGGGAGCACAGCUCCAAAUCUUUUUCUCAUCUGCUGGACCACCUGUGUAAUUGAUACUCUCCUUGGUCUAGCAAGUGAAUGAGAUGAUAAUGACACUUUUAAGCCUGUUUGUGACAGAUUAACAUAGAGGAAUGAGGAAAGAAUCAAGGAAGGGAUGGAUAUCUAUUUCCUUUUGUUUCAAAGGGUUCCUACUUCAUGCUAACAGUUUAAAUGGCAACACUUUUUGCACGUUUGUGCUAAACAUCGCAUUUCAGCUGGCUGAAGGUUUUUUGUUAAAGAUCAGUGUGCUUUUAAAAGUUGAACCUAUGCUGUCAGGACCACUGACUUUACUCCCAGGCAAGUACGGAUAGAAUUUUCGGUGUUUAUAUAUGUUAUGCGUAUACCACACAUACACACACAGAAACCUUUAAAUGUCAAGAUGUUUAGUAUAUUUUGGUGGAUUGUUUUAAGGUAUUACGUUGUACACCGUGUUGGUAAUUUCUGGUUUUUAAUAAAUGUUUAUACAUUUUUUAAAAAAAUGUUUUUAAUAAAUAAAUUCACACACAGAUGGAUU
Molecule: long non-coding RNA, 1023 nt
Organism: Rhineura floridana
Lineage: Eukaryota; Metazoa; Chordata; Lepidosauria; Squamata; Rhineuridae
Exons: 4
Source: RefSeq, a predicted model, not a curated record